RNA transcript from Pangasianodon hypophthalmus (striped catfish), 2244 nucleotides. It is a transcript of the gene named TEA domain family member 1a, with no coding region annotated. Lineage: Eukaryota; Metazoa; Chordata; Actinopteri; Siluriformes; Pangasiidae. The record is from RefSeq and is a predicted model, not a curated record. The transcript has 12 exons.
AACACUUCAAUGGAAAUGGCUCUCUCCAUCUUCUGCCAGGUUCGUGUGUCAGUCAUCGUCCAGACUCGGCUGCAGGUCCCAGGCGUCUCGAUGGAAGCAGGCAGCUGGAGUGGCAGUGAGAGCGGAGGAGAGGAAAUGGAGAGGAUGAGCGACUCGAACGAAAAGCCCACCGACAGCGACGCAGAGGGCGUAUGGAGCCCCGACAUCGAGCAGAGCUUCCAGGAGGCGCUGGCCAUCUACCCGCCCUGCGGCCGCCGCAAGAUCAUCCUCUCUGAUGAAGGGAAGAUGUACGGUCGUAAUGAACUGAUAGCCAGAUACAUCAAACUGAGGACUGGAAAGACAAGAACGAGAAAACAGGUCUCCAGUCACAUUCAGGUUCUGGCCCGGCGGAAAUCCAGAGAGCUUCACGCUAAACUUAAGGAUCAAAGCGUGAAGGACAAAGCGCUCCAGAGCAUGGCGGCCAUGUCUUCUGCUCAGAUCGUGUCGGCCACGGCCAUUCACAGCAAGCUGGGUCUGGCAGGCCUCCCUCAGCCCAGCUUCCCUGCAGCGCCGGGGUUUUGGCAGCUGCCCACGGGCCAUCCUGGAUCCUCACAAGACAUUAAGCCGUUUUCACAGCAAGCCUACCCCAUUCAGGCCGCCACGGCAUUAUCAGGUUACGAGCCUCCCAGAGCCCCUGCAGCCACUCCUCCAGCGUGGCAGGGACGCUCCAUCGGCACGAGCAAACUGCGACUCAUCGAGUUCUCCUCGUUCCUGGAGCAGGAGAGAGACCCCGAGUCUUACAACAAGCACCUGUUUGUACACAUCGGCCAGACGAGCCACUCGUACAGCGACCCGCUGCUGGAGUCAGUGGACAUCCGCCAGAUCUACGAUAAGUUCCCUGAGAAGAAAGGAGGCCUCAAGGAGCUUUUUGGGAAAGGGCCACAGAAUGCCUUCUUCUUAGUCAAGUUCUGGGCGGACCUGAACUGUAACGUCCAGGAGGACUCGGGCGCGUUCUACGGCGUGACCAGUCAUUACGAGAGUCCAGAUAACAUGACCAUCACCUGCUCUACUAAAGUGUGUUCAUUCGGGAAGCAGGUGGUAGAGAAAGUGGAGACGGAGUACGCACGCUUCGAGAACGGCCGAUUCGUGUACAAAAUAAACCGCUCGCCCAUGUGCGAAUACAUGAUCAACUUCAUCCACAAACUCAAGCACCUGCCUGAGAAGUACAUGAUGAACAGCGUGUUAGAGAACUUCACCAUCCUGCUGGUGGUGUCGAACAGAGAAACCCAGGAGACGCUGCUGUGCAUGGCGUGUGUGUUCGAGGUUUCCAACAGUGAGCACGGAGCUCAGCAUCACAUCUACAGACUGAUCAAAGAAUGAGAUGCUGCUUCAACCUCUCUUUCUCUUUAUCUCUCUCUCUCACACACACACACACACAUACACACACAUGCACACACUAAAGACACUGAGCUGCUGCCCUGCUGGUCAGAGAGAGCCAGACCGCAUCACUUCCUGUGUCCACGGAGGCCUCAUGUGUGGCGCCUUUGCUAUGAGCUGCUGUCCUGAGCGGCUCAGAGAGAUUUUACUCUCAGUGAUAAACUCGUAACUCUGAAGCGGCUGUGCCUCUGUGCGUAUAAACCCUCCGCUUCACUCGGUCACAGCUGGACGAUGCCUCUAAAGACUACAUUUUUGUCUUAAAUGUUCUGUAUUUUCUCGAUCUGCACGGGUGCAGGGAGUGACGGUGAAACGGAGUUAUAACUACUGAGGCAGAAUCUAGCUCAACCUUCUGCUCACUAUCUCCUCACUAAGGAAGUGACAUCAGACCCUUACUGAAAUACUGCAACACACACAGACCUGUAUGUAUAUUUCCUGCUUCACAAUAAACUGGAGGAGUUUCAGUUCUCUUUGCACUCCAUCCCCCGUGACUCUGUGACUCUGUGACUCUGUGACUCAGCUCCAGCAUCAGCAGCUCGUCAGCGCCUCCGUCUCGGUGCUGCUCGGUGAUCCGUCCGCUUUCCUGGUGAACAGCUGGCUCAGACAAACAUUCCUGGGUUAAACAGGUUUUAAACAUGGGACAUUUGUGUGAAAUAAAAUUGUGUAAUUGUCGAGAUGUUUCUGUACAGGCUUAAGCAGGUUUUUUUUUUUUUUUUUUUCAGAUGAAGGGAUGAUACAAAAUAUGUUUCAGUGUGUGUGCGUUUGGUACCGCGGUUAGUUAUUUUUCACUCUGUAACAUUUUCUCUUGAAUAAAGAAUAUUUUGAAUUUUU